UUCUGGUUGGAUCCUGCCGGAGGCUACCGCUAUUGGAGUUCGAUUAAGCCAUGCGAGUCGAGAGUCUUAGGGACUCGGCGUACCGCUCAGUAACACGUGGGUAACCUGCCCUAUGCUGGGGAAUAACCUCGGGAAACUGAGAAUAAUACCCCAUAGUUCACCACGCCUGGAACGGUGGGUGGAUGAAAGCUCCGGCGGCAUAGGAUGGGCCUGCGACGUAUCAGGUUGUAGGGGGUGUAACGUACCCUCUAGCCAUCAACGCGUACGGGUGUUGGGAGACAUAGCCCGGAGAUGGAUUCUGAGACACGAAUCCAGACCCUACGGGGUGCAGCAGGCGCGAAAACUUGGCAAUGCGAGCAAUCGUGACCAGGGAACUCCAAGUGGCUGGGGUAAUACCCAGUUUUUUCUUGACUCUUCAAAGGUCUUGGAAUAAGGGGUGGGUAAGGACGGUGCCAGCCGCCGCGGUAAUACCGGCGCCUCAAGUGGUAGUCGCUUUUAUUGGGCCUAAAACGUCCGUAGCCGGUCUGGUGCAUUCGUGGGUAAAUCAACCCGCUCAACGGGUUGAAUUCUGCGAGCACGGCCAGACUUGGGACCGGGAGAGGUGUGGGGUACUCUCAGGGUAGGGGUAAAAUCCUGUCAUCCUGAGAGGACCACCUGUU
RNAcentral lists this ribosomal RNA (659 nucleotides) under uncultured Candidatus Poseidoniales archaeon. RNAcentral describes it as "bacterial SSU rRNA". It matches the Rfam family "Archaeal small subunit ribosomal RNA", at positions 1 to 665 of the family's 1478-position model. The record is from RNAcentral. Lineage: Archaea; Methanobacteriati; Thermoplasmatota; Candidatus Poseidoniia; Candidatus Poseidoniales.